This is a non-coding RNA of Phrynosoma platyrhinos (Desert horned lizard), 72 nucleotides long. The record is from the annotation of a GenBank genome assembly. NCBI's taxonomy places the organism in Eukaryota, Metazoa, Chordata, Lepidosauria, Squamata, Phrynosomatidae.
GUAUGGGUGGCGUAGUGGUUUGUGCAUUGUACUACAACUUUGGAGACCAGGGUUCAAUUCCCAGCCUGGCUA